UUCGGAUUCAUGCAUUUAAACCUAAGUUCACUUGUGACAUGAAAAUUGAUAAGAUUCCCAUUUAGAAGCUAUGUGAAUUAGAGAGCUAUUGUCAUCAAGCGGCAUUGAGCUCAGGACUUGUGUGAACCUAGUGGAUAGGGCCAUUGAGGGAUUUGGAAAACAUGUUGAACAUCAAAUUGCCUAAGUGUCAUCAAGGGGCACUAGGCGUAGCAAAUGUUGAAACUUCACAUCGUGACUUAGACUAGAUCUUCGGGAUGCUAGUUAUGAUACCAUGUUAGAGACAUGAGGAUUGGAUAUUUGAGACUUGGACUAUGCUUGCUUGCCAUUUGUGCUCAUUCGCACAUGCUUGUGAGGGUCGCUCCCUACAAGCCGGCACUCCGGAGUUAGCCUACGCGACUACGUUCGCUCGUGCGGUAUUGAGAAGCCUACGGGGUCGAGUGGGACAGACACAUUCCAUGAGUAGGGAUGUCGGGCUACCACAGGCACUUAGGCGGCACAAGCCGGACUACCUUUGGUAGGUCCUUAAUUGGAAAUGGAAAUCGACACAGUGUUGAGUUUAUUAUGAUCACUACUUAAUAGAGAAUAGUAGUUGGGUUACUUGGACUUACUUCUAGCAUAGUUUGGGGUACUUGGAUAUACAUACAUAUAUGUAGCAUGCUAGGAGAUGUUGCUUAUUGCAUUCAUAUAUAUACAUUGUUGCCAUGAUAAAGCAUGAUCUUCAUAAUUUCAUAAAGCAAAUAAUGAUUGUUACUUGUGGUUAUGUUGGGACGUACUUGUUCAUCAUGAAAUAGGUGUACAUCAUAUUUGACACAAUGUAGCACCUCAGCAUUUUUAAUUAUGCUUUCAUAAAUGCAAUUUAUUCAUUACUAAUGCUCUUCUCUGUCUUACCCUUUUCUUUUGGGGCCUAGUGGUGCAUUGAGCUGAGGUCAGUAAUUGCCCACUGGGAACUAUAAAUUAUAGUUCUCACGCCCUGUGUUUUAUGUUUUCUUUCAGAGCCUUCCACGCCGGGAGAGGCUAGGGACCGUGGGAAGGGAGUUGCUUCGAGCUAGCUUCCUCGAGGACGAUUCGAUAGGUGGUCUACCUCUCGUUAUUUUAUUUUGUGAGAGGUUGAGAGUUUUACCAGUGUAUUAGAGACCACCAUUUUUGUACUUUUGAGACUCAUAGUGUACUACUUAUGGUUUCUUUUAUCGUCUAGCUUUAUCUCUUUACUUUGGUGUAUAUGAUAGAACUUUACUCGCUCUGAUAUCCUUAGUUGCUAGUUAUUUUACUUCCUUAUUUGUUCUAUCUCUUGCUUUACUUUCGCUUUUAUUGUAGACGCCUUAUAUGUGUAGACAUAUGGCGGGUCUGGGCACGCUACCGGGAGGGCCUCCGCCGGUCCCAGGGCGUGACAUGAUUGGAGAGCAAGUUUUCUUUCUCUUUUUCUCUCUUUCUCUCUAGUUCUCACCCCUCACUCCUUUUCUCUUCUAAUCUCUCCACAAAAAAGGAUUAAUUGGAGAAGAAGUUGGAGUAGAAUCCUUGAAAGUUGGAGAGUAGCUUGGAGCUCAAGCUUUCAUCUUCUUCCUCUCUAUUAGAGAAAGCAUUGGAGGUAAGCUUUGGUAGUAAUUAUGGUAGAUUGCUAAGGAAUGAUUAGUAUGCUCUAGGAAUGGGUUUAGAGAGCUCCCUACAUGCUAAUAACAUGUUAAUUGCAUGAAUCAAGUUCCAAUUUGGUGAUUUCUUGCAAUAGUAGCAUGUUAAGACUCAAAUUGGGGUUUUGCAAUAUGUAGAGGUUUGAUCUAAAUUGAACCUAUGCGAACCUAAUUGUUAGGUAUACGAACGCGCUGGCGAAGUCGGUUCGGCGAUACGACGAGGCUAUGCGAAGAUAUUGAAGAAAAGGCC
RNAcentral lists this long non-coding RNA (1875 nucleotides) under Ananas comosus (pineapple). RNAcentral's name for it is "long non-coding RNA (ACOM_LNC042074)". The record is from RNAcentral. Lineage: Eukaryota; Viridiplantae; Streptophyta; Magnoliopsida; Poales; Bromeliaceae.